GACGUAGGGGGCCAGCGUUGUUCGGAAUUACUGGGUGUAAAGGGUUCGUAGGCGGUGUAGCAAGUCGGGAGUGAAAUCUCUGGGCUUAACCUGGGAACUGCGCUUGUUACUGGCAAGCUGGAGUGUGGCAGAGGGGGGUGGAAUUCCACGUGUAGCAGUGAAAUGCGUAGAGAUGUGGAGGAACACCGAUGGCGAAGGCAGCUCCCUGGGUCAAGAUUGACGCUCAUGCACGAAAGCGUGGGGAGCAAACAGG
RNAcentral lists this ribosomal RNA (253 nucleotides) under uncultured bacterium. RNAcentral describes it as "partial 16S ribosomal RNA". It matches the Rfam family "Bacterial small subunit ribosomal RNA", at positions 524 to 776 of the family's 1533-position model. The record is from RNAcentral.